Molecule: ribosomal RNA, 253 nt
Filed under: uncultured bacterium
Lineage: Bacteria
Description: partial 16S ribosomal RNA
Rfam family: Bacterial small subunit ribosomal RNA
Source: RNAcentral
UACGGAGGAUGCAAGCGUUAUCCGGAAUGAUUGGGCGUAAAGCGUCCGCAGGUGGCUGUGUAAGUCUGCUGUCAAAGAGCAAAGCUCAACUUUGUAAAGGCAGUGGAAACUACACGGCUAGAGUGCGUUCGGGGCAGAGGGAAUUCCUGGUGUAGCGGUGAAAUGCGUAGAGACCAGGAAGAACACCGGUGGCGAAAGCGCUCUGCUAGGCCGCAACUGACACUGAGGGACGAAAGCUAGGGGAGCGAAUGGG